Ochlerotatus camptorhynchus is the source of this 1642-nucleotide long non-coding RNA. RefSeq lists it as uncharacterized. Lineage: Eukaryota; Metazoa; Arthropoda; Insecta; Diptera; Culicidae. The transcript is spliced from 3 exons. The record is from RefSeq and is a predicted model, not a curated record.
CGCAUUGUUUUUAUUCGGCUGAAAUUUCCAUUCAACGAUAAGGCACUGAUUAAAUUUUUAAUUUGAUUGCAUUUUUUGGUUCGGAAAUUUACAAAACAGUUGAAUGUGCGUGAUAAUUCUACAAUAAGAAGUGCUGUGGAUGUAGUGCUGUGGUGCCAAUUGAAACGACUAUUUCAUGUGUGGAAUUUCCUUGAAAGCUUCAACUAUGUCAAAAAUAUAGAAAUACUUUCACAAAGUUCCGGGUGACACGGAGAAAGCCAAAUGCGUAAAAUGUUCUCAAAUUCUCGCAUGCAAGGGUUCUUCAACCAGCGGCUUACUGAGGCAUCUGAGCUAUAAACAUAAACUUGUUCUAAAGCGUACUGCCGUCGAUGACAAAGAUGCUGGAACCUCCAGUGAUAAGAUUUCCAAGCCUGCAUCAAUGUUAAACUUUGUGAAACGUCGGCGCGGAGAAAUCGGAGAGCAAAUACAUUCAAAAUGCUCAUUAUUUUAUCUCGAAAUAAAUAAAUGAAUUAAAGUGGUAUUUUUCUUUGGAUUUUACGUCCCAAUUGAAUCCUGGGAAAUGCCAAUUUUUAUUGCCCGUUUCCCGGGUAGUCAACAUUGGUCGGGAAAUGGAAACACUAAACAUGUCUAACUGCAAAUCAACGAAGACCCCGAUGACCGACAAGCUUAACAAGGAAAUGUCACCAAAACCCCAGACGAGACGAACCAUAUAGCAAACAUCACGUAUCAGGAAGCAAUCGGCAGCCUAAUGUACUUGGCUCAAUGUAUCCGACCAGAUAUUCUUUUCGCUGUGAACGUUACAAUUAAAAUCCAGGAAUGCAACAUUGGAGUGCUGUCAAGCAUUUGUUUCGUUACCUCCGUAGAACUUUGAAAAUGAAAGUGGUGUAAAAGAAGGAUGCCAAGUUAUUGGAUACAGUGACGUGGACUGGGCAGGUGAUCUGGAAUUCAGGAAAUCAACAAGUGGUUACAUAUUCAAGGUUGGUUGGUUGGUUGUCUUUAAUAAGGAGAUAUUCAGCCAGACGCUAGUUCAUCUCCGGGACUCAAGCUAAAGGGUGCAGCGAUUUCCUGGUGCUGUAAGCGGCAGCCUACGAUCGCUUUAUCUACGUGUGAAGCUGAGUAUUUGGGCCUAUCUGCAGCAGUUCAAGAAGCAGCGUGGUGGAAAGGAUUGAUGUCACAAUUCUAAGAGACUCGUUCGAUCAAGAUCCUUUGUGACAAUCAAAGCACAAUUGCCGUUGCUAACCCUAAUAAAAUUGUUAUUGUUAAACCAUUUGAAGAAUAGCUCAAUUGUUUGGGUUAUCGUUCGUUUAUGGUAUUUUUUAUUAGGGAAAGCUGGUGGUUAUAAUCCCAGGACAAAGCAUACCGAUAUUAGGCAUCACUAUUUUCAAGAUGCACUGAAGAAAGAAGUGGUCAACAUUGAUUAUGACAACUCUGAAGACCCACUCGCUGAUGGUCUCACGAAACCAUUAACCCACGAAAAGCUAAGCAAAAAUCGUGAAGCCAUAGGAUAUUAGCUUAAGGGGGAGUAUUAGAAUAGUAAGCCAUGACUCCAAUCGACGAAGUAAAUUUCGUCAUUCAGUUAUUGAACGUCAAACGAACAAGUCGUAUUCUCAAUAAAUCAUUACAAUAAAAACACCUUGUUUCU